UCCCUGGUAGUCCAGGGGUUAGGACUCUGCACUUCCACUGUAGGGGGCACAAGUUCGAUCCCUGGUUGGGGAA
Ovis aries (sheep) is the source of this 73-nucleotide transfer RNA. It matches the Rfam family "tRNA". Rfam says of the family: Transfer RNA (tRNA) molecules are approximately 80 nucleotides in length. Lineage: Eukaryota; Metazoa; Chordata; Mammalia; Artiodactyla; Bovidae. The record is from Rfam.